AGAGUAAUAAAAAAGUUUUUGCUGCUACCAAAAAAUUAAUCUAAGGAUUUUACUCUG
This 57-nucleotide transfer RNA is filed under the name Ciona savignyi (Pacific transparent sea squirt). RNAcentral's name for it is "tRNA (ENSCSAVG00000012492.1)". The record is from RNAcentral. Lineage: Eukaryota; Metazoa; Chordata; Ascidiacea; Phlebobranchia; Cionidae.